This 1441-nucleotide long non-coding RNA is filed under the name Pan troglodytes (chimpanzee). Its description in RNAcentral is "lincRNA". Lineage: Eukaryota; Metazoa; Chordata; Mammalia; Primates; Hominidae. The record is from RNAcentral.
AAUGCGCUGGGGUCCCAUUCCGUGUUGUGGGGUGUUUUUUCUUUAGCUCUUCGCAAUAAAUCUUGCUGCUGCUCACUCUUUGGGUCCACGCCCCUUUAUGAGCUGUAACACUCACCGCGAAGGUCUGCAGCUUCACUCCUGAAGUCAGCAAGACCACAAACCCACCAGGAGGAACGACCAACUCCGGACGGCCACCUUUAUGAACUUUAACACUCACCGCGAAGGUCUGCAGCUUCACUCCUGAAGUCAGGGAGACCACGAACCCACUAGGAGGAAGAAACUCGGGACUCGCCUGAACAUCGGAAGGAACAAACUCCAGACACACCAUCUUUUAAGAACUGUAACACUCACCGCGAGAGUUUGCGGCUUCAUUCUUGAAGUCAGCGAGAUCAAGAACCCACCAAUUCCAGACACAAUACCUUACAGACUCUGAAUGUUCAGUAUUACUUUAUUUCCUUCCAAUCAUAAAUGUUAAACUGAUAGAGAUUUCAAGUUCUAUAUGUUGAUAAGUUGCAUAAGAUAAUUUCGGCUUUAUGUUUUGACAUUAUUUUCAUGUAGGUAUUUUAUAGAUUAGCAUAAAAUAUUACGUAUUUUUAUAAUUUGAAAAGAUAUUGAAAACUGUGUUUUACUUUUUCUGGCUUUUAUUUUUAUUCUUGAACACCAUGGUCAAUUGCUUUUUUACUUUCAUUUCUCAACUUGUUUGGACAAAUUUUGCAAAGAUAUUCUUACCCUUGGCCUCUCCCGACAAAUUCCUCUCAUAAGUAAAUAUUAUCUUGAGAAUAUGUGGACUCUUAUGUAGAAAAAGAACAACAUAAACUCAAUGUUUAUUAAAAAACGUGAGAUUACAAAUGACUUUUUUAAAAAGGGAAUCAAAUUUCAUUUCAGGAAACUUACUAGAAAAAAAUUCUUAUGAACACCUAAACUAGUGUAAGUGUGUUAUUCUGUGAAAACGUAAUUCCUUAUUUCAAAAAUAGUUUCUAAUAAAAGAACCUGGAUUAUAUAGCUACUCAAGUUGAACAGAUGAUCACAAAGAACCUUAACUGUAACCAUAUUUAGCUAUCAAAAAUGGAAAAGAAAUUUUGGUUAUAGUUCUCUGUCCCACAUUCAAUUUAAAAGAAUAAUGGCUAUUUGUUAUCAAAGUAUUUUAAUACAUUUCUUAUGUCUGCCCAUCUAAAAUGAAAACUUUUAUUUCCAUAAAGUUUUGUAUAACAUGUCUUAAAUGAAUGUGCAGUCAAAACUGCAUUCGGUUACUAAAGGAACUAAUAAUUCAUAAAUUGCAUUUAUUUGUAUGUUACUAACAUUAAAAAGAGAUGUUUUGUCAUGUUUAUAAUGAUCGUCAUGUAUAUAAUGAUAUGUUUAUAAUGAUGACAUCAUCAUCAUUGUAAGAUUAGCUAAACUCUUUGUCCUUCAGUAUAAAAAUUAAAGCCAGUAUAUUAUUUUU